ACUGCGCUGGUCAGCAAGCACCCAUGUCCCAACUGUCUGCUUCCCACCUUUACAAGCCCUAAAGCAGCAUUGAAAAUAUACAGCCUAAACUUAAGGAAGCUCAAACCUAUAUGUUCAAGACCCAAAAUAAGUCUCAGGGUAGGGAGAUUGUUUUAAUUCUUGCCACAUGUCCUUUGCUUAGAUCAGCCACUAUGUAAGCCCUCGGUGCUUGCAUUUAGUUUUUGGUUCAUUCGUCUCAAUCACCAGUUCUCGACCUGCGUGCUACUUGCGGCCCAAUCAGCAUACAGCUGCAGUCCAUGUGACAUGCUCAGGGCCAGACAGUAUAUAUACUGCAUAAAUGCAGCCCCCAUUAACACAGAGACAGCUGCAUAUGCAGCCCACAUUACAGGGAAAGCCACUGUUCUAAAUACAAGCAAAACAAACUGCCUGCCAAUCAAACAUUUCUCAAGCCCCUACCCCAAAUGCUCACAAGCACAAAUUGUCCCUGUUUUUGCUACAGCAUCUUUCUUAAAAGCAACAGUUUAAAAAGUGGGCCUGGAUUUACUCCGCUGCUUUCGGGGUUUGUCUCCCGAUGGAGCUAUUCUGGGAGAGCGGCGUAGCGCAGUAGGUGUAAUGAGAGAGGCAGUGUAGUCUACUAAAUAGAGUAUUGGACUCAGACUACACCAGUUAAUUCAUGGCUUGCCGCUGACUUCGGGUGAGUUCAUUCAGUUCUUUGUGCCUCUUUUUCUCCCCUCUGGUUACUUGGGCAGCAAUUUGGAGCAGAAACGGACUCUCUCAGUGUUUAUACAACAUCUCUCACGCUGGAGACCCCGAUCUACGACUGAAAUGGAACACAAACAACUUUUGUUGCAAGCGGAAUGCGGCAGCCUCCUAAAACUGUUUAUACCUGUAAGUGUGGAGUGAUAUACACACAUCGAGAUUGAAAAGACUGGGACGUUGUGGAGGAGAACAAGAGAAGACAAGGUGGCAGUGCGCAAAAUAAUUUUUUGCACAGAAAAGAUAAAUCAGGAAUUCGUCUAUAGAAGACAACUGCCCAUUACUGCAAUCAGCUCACGCUGCCCCCACCUUCAGCUCAGCUGGUAGAGAUGUGCGCUUUGGUAAUGACAGUCCUGGGUUAAAACACGCAUGAUGACAAGGGUUGAGUUUAGUGCAAACAACUGCACCUUGAGCACUGAUGGAGCUGAGUCACUUACCUCCCAAAGGGCUGUGUUGACAAAAGGGCUACAGCCCACAAUCAUUUUUCAUAUGGAACAUCCAUUGACUUUGGGCCUGCAAACUAUGAAGUCACCCUUGGUGGGAGGAUUCAUGUGCAUGUGAACAAGUCUCAAGAGAAUGGCUACAGAAUCGUUGGCAGGAGGGCAAAAGGAUGAACACACUUAAAAACCAAGUGCAUGUUAUUUGUGUUGUAGGAUAGUCUUUCAUCUCUCCCUACUCCCCACUCUAAACUGAUGUGUCAUUUUGUUGUGUGCUGUUAAUCAGUAGCUGGUUCUUAUGAUAGAAUUGCUGCACCUCAGUAGUGGGUGGCAUCAUUUCAUAUGAGAGAUCAAAGCAUGACACCUCAGCAUGUAAAAGAGGAACUCCAGGAACUGAACUCCUUGCAAGUAAUACUGUUGGUUGGUUGUAUCAUUAGCAAUGUGACAGUCAGCAGAUCUCUGCAGAAAGAAUUUAGUUGUUUGGCUUAUUUGAAAGCCUUUUGUUUCAAGAGGUCAUUAAAUAUUGCUCUAGGGGAUUGGUUCUCUUCU
Non-coding RNA from Pelodiscus sinensis (Chinese soft-shelled turtle), 1742 nucleotides. The record is from RefSeq and is a predicted model, not a curated record. Lineage: Eukaryota; Metazoa; Chordata; Testudines; Trionychidae.